UUGCCUUUUGUUUCAUUGAAACUCUGAAUUUAUAACCUGAUUUUUGUGAACCUGUGGGCUCAAAUGAGAGAGGCCCAAGUCCAAAAUGUUUCUGUUAUAUUUUUUUUAUUUAUUUAUUAUUAUUUUCUUUUCUUUUUCUUUUCUUUUUUUUUUUCGUUUUUCGUUCUUUUUUAUUUAUUUAUUUAUUUUUUUCUUUUUUUUUUCGUUUUUU
RNAcentral lists this long non-coding RNA (211 nucleotides) under Lathyrus oleraceus (garden pea). RNAcentral's name for it is "Pisum sativum (pea) long non-coding RNA (PSAT_LNC022332)". The record is from RNAcentral. Lineage: Eukaryota; Viridiplantae; Streptophyta; Magnoliopsida; Fabales; Fabaceae.